CGAACGGAACAGGUCUUCGGAUGCUGACGAGUGGCGAACGGGUGAGUAAUACAUCGGAACGUGCCCGAGAGUGGGGGAUAACGAAGCGAAAGCUUUGCUAAUACCGCAUACGAUCUCAGGAUGAAAGCAGGGGACCGCAAGGCCUUGCGCUCACGGAGCGGCCGAUGGCAGAUUAGGUAGUUGGUGGGAUAAAAGCUUACCAAGCCGACGAUCUGUAGCUGGUCUGAGAGGACGACCAGCCACACUGGGACUGAGACACGGCCCAGACUCCUACGGGAGGCAGCAGUGGGGAAUUUUGGACAAUGGGCGCAAGCCUGAUCCUAGCCAUGCCGCGUGCAGGAUGAAGGCCUUCGGGUUGUAAACUGCUUUUGUACGGAACGAAAAGACUCUGGUUAAUACCUGGGGUCCAUGACGGUACCGUAAGAAUAAGCACCGGCUA
RNAcentral lists this ribosomal RNA (439 nucleotides) under uncultured bacterium. Its description in RNAcentral is "bacterial SSU rRNA". It matches the Rfam family "Bacterial small subunit ribosomal RNA", at positions 63 to 499 of the family's 1533-position model. The record is from RNAcentral.